AUUGAACGCUGGCGGCAUGCCUUACACAUGCAAGUCGAACGGCAGCGGGGGAGAAGCUUGCUUUUCCUGCCGGCGAGUGGCGAACGGGUGAGUAAUACAUCGGAACGUGCCCUGUAGUGGGGGAUAACUAGUCGAAAGAUUAGCUAAUACCGCAUACGACCUGAGGGUGAAAGUGGGGGACCGCAAGGCCUCAUGCUAUAGGAGCGGCCGAUGUCUGAUUAGCUAGUUGGUGGGGUAAAGGCCUACCAAGGCGACGAUCAGUAGCUGGGCUGAGAGGACGAUCAGCCAAACUGGGGCUGGGACACGGCCCAGACUCCUACGGGAGGCAGCAGUGGGGAAUUUUGGACAAUGGCGAAAGCCUGAUCCAGCAAUGCCGCGUGUGUGAAGAAGGCCUUCGGGUUGUAAAGCACUUUUGUCCGGAAAGAAAUGGCUCUGGUUAAUACCUGGGGUCGAUGACGGUACCGGAAGAAUAAGGACCGGCUAACUACGUGCCAGCCGCCGCCGUAA
Molecule: ribosomal RNA, 507 nt
Filed under: uncultured bacterium
Lineage: Bacteria
Description: partial 16S ribosomal RNA
Rfam family: Bacterial small subunit ribosomal RNA
Source: RNAcentral